RNAcentral lists this ribosomal RNA (2729 nucleotides) under Ziziphus jujuba (common jujube). RNAcentral's name for it is "bacterial LSU rRNA". The stretch from base 1 to 1907 matches the Rfam family "Bacterial large subunit ribosomal RNA". Lineage: Eukaryota; Viridiplantae; Streptophyta; Magnoliopsida; Rosales; Rhamnaceae. The record is from RNAcentral.
ACUUGGCUCGGGAGGAUAUAGCUCAAAUGGUAGAGCUCCGCUCUUGCAAUUGGGCUGUUGCGAUUAUAGGUUGGAUGUCUAAUUGUCUAGGUGGUAAUGAUAGUAUCUUUUACCUAAACGGGUGGCUCACUGUUUCUAAGCAAUGGGGAAGAGGACCGAAACAUGCCACUGAAAGACUCUACUAAAACAAAGAUAGGCGGUCAAGAAUGUAGAGGAGGUAGAGUGUGAAAUCGGGGUUGCGGGAGAGCAAUACAAGCAUCAUGCUACUAGGCAAAGUGGUGGAGUGCUGCACCUUAGAUGGAGAGAGUCCAGUAACCAAAAGUAUCACUAGCUUAUGCUUUGACCCGAGUAGCAUGGGACAUUUGGAAUCUCGUGUGAAUCAGCAAGGACCACCUUGCAAGGCUAAAUACUCCUGGGUGAGCGAUAGUGAACUAGUACCGUGAGGGAAGGGUGAAAAGAACCCCCAUCGGGGAGUGCGGGAAGGGUGAAAGAAACCCCCAUCGAGGAGUGAAAUAGAACAUGAAGCCGUAAGCUCCCAAGCAGUGGGAGGAGACCAGGGCUCUGGCCGCGUGCCUGUUGAAGAAUGAGUAGGCGACUUAUAGGCAGUGGCAUAGUUAAGGGAACCCACCGGAGCCGUAGUGAUAGCGAGUCUUCAUAGGGCAAUUGUCACUGCUUAUGGAUCCGAACCUGGGUAAUCUAUCCAUGACCAGGAUGAAGCUUUGGUGAAACUAAGUGGAGGUUCGAACCGACUGAUGUUGAAGAAUUAGCGGAAGAGUUGUGGUUAGCGGUGAAAUGACACUCGAACCCAUAGCUUAUUGGUUCUCCCCAAAAUGCGUUGAGGCAUAGCAAUGUUCUCCCCGGAAUGCGUUGAGGCAUAGCAAUUGACUGGACAUCUAGAGGUAAAGCACUGUUUCGAUACGGGCCGCGAGAUCGGUACCAAAGCGAGGCAAACUCUGAAUACUAAAUAUGUCCUCAAAAUAAUAGGGGUCAAGGUCAGCCAGUGGGACGAUAGGGGAUAAGCUUCAUUGUCGAAAGGGAAAUAGCCCAGAUCACCAGCUAAGGCCCCUAAAUGACCGCUCAGUGAUAAAGGAGGUAAGGGUGCAGAGACAGCCAGGAGGUUUGCCUCGAAGCAUCCACCCUUGAAAGAGUGCAUAAUAGCUCAUUGAUGAAGUGCUCUUACGCUGAAGAUGAACAGGGCUACAGAAUCUACCAAAGUUGUGGGAUGUAAAAAUGCAUCAUUGGGGGAGCGUUGCGCCUAGAGGGAAGCACCCACACGAGUAGUGAUAGACGAAGUGGAAGCGAGAAUGUCAACUUGAGUAUGCAAACAUUGGUGAGAAUAGAAUGCCCUAAAAACCUAAGGGUUUCUCCGCAAGGUUUGUCCACGGAGGGUGAGGCAGGGCCUAAGAUCAAGCUAAAAAGCAGACUAAUGGACAACAGGUGAAUAUUCCUGUACUACUCUUUGUUGGUCCGAGGGACAGAGGAAGCUAGGUUAGCCGAAAGAUGGUUAUCGGUUAAAGGACGCAAGGCGCCCCUGGUUUUUUAGGGUAACCUAUGCCAUACUCCCAGGAAAAGCUCGAACGACCUUCAAUGAAAGGGUACCUAUACCUGAAACCGACACAGGUGGGUAGGUAGAGAAUACCUAAGGGCGCGAGACAACUCUCUCUAAGGAACUUGGCAAAAUAGCUUCGUAACUUCAGGAGAAGGGGUGCCUCCUUACAAAGGGGGUCGCAGUAACGAGGCCUAAGCGAUUGUUUACCAAAAAUACAGGUCUCCGCAAAGUCAUAAGACCAUGUAUGGGGGCUAACGUGAUACGAACCUAGGACGACCUACUCCUAAACCCGUAUUAUAUUAGUCCAGAUCUUAAUUAAGUUAAAGUUCUAAUGGAAUUGACCUCAACCCCUAACCAACCUGUGGUUAGAAAUCUUGGUAUAAUGUAGACGCCACAAUAGGGGAUGGAAAACCUAUUGAUAAGUUAAGCUAAAACAACCAAUUCUCUAAUGGUGUUUUAGGUGUUCUCAAAGAACAAAGAGAUAAUUAAUCUCACAAGUAUUUUCUCAAUCAAAUUAAAAUUUUAUUCUUAUUGAAAAUUAAGCCUUUAAAUAGGCUUUGAAAGAAACAAAAUAAACCCUAAAAACCCUAGGAAAAAUCGGCCACAUAAUGAAGAGUUCUAGCUUGACCGAAUCUUUCAUUUUCCGAAUCUAAUUAAUUAAUUACCUUAUUUUCAAUUAGGAAUUAAUUAAUUUACAAACAAAAUAAUAAAAUAAAAACUUUCCUAAACUUAUUUGUCCAGCAAAUAAAUAAAUAAAAACCCAAAGUCAAAUGCAAAUUAGGUAACGAGUUGACUUUGACAUCUAGGCUGAAUUAUGUCUUCAAUCGAGCUAACUCAUGACUGUCCGAGCUAACUUAUGUCUGUCUGAGCUAACUUAUGACUGUCCGAGCUAACUCAUGACUGUCUGAGCUAACUUAUGUCCGUCCGAGCUAACUUAUGACUGUCCGAGCUAACUUAUGUCUGCGUGAUGUCCGAACUAAGUUAUGUCAGAUGUCCGAGGCAUGGGUGUCCGAUAUCAAAUGUCCGAUGUAUGGGUGUCCGAUGUAUCAACCUUCACCACUUGGAUACUUAAAAUAGGUCUUUUAUCUUCAGGUAUGGACAAGCCCUUUUGAGAAUGAAUUACUUUCUGGAUAAAGGCAGCAAGGUUGUCCUUAAGCCUCUUAGCUUGAGCCCUAGUGAU